CGUCAUCCCAAAUUUUCAUUUCCUCCCUUAGCUCAUAUGAUUUGUUCUAUACACUGCACACUCUUGUUGGCCCUUCUCCUUCUCACCAGAUCCCUAAUUUUCAUAUCGUCUCUGAUCAAAUAGAAAUGGAACUCUACUUUUCUUCACUCCAGAUCUGCUCGGCAAAUCUCUCUCUCUCCCCCUCUCCCCCUCUCUCUCUGCCCCCCCUCCCUCUUCCUUUCUUUUCUCUCAGUUUUCGCAAAUGUCAAGACCAGACUCCCCAAACUCCAAUUGUACGCACUGGUACAUAUGAGAAGUAUGGCAUUUAUGAGUUUCUGUUGGGUACAAAUGCAAUCGUGACAGUUUUGGCUUAUUCAGGAUAUGAUAUGGAGGAUGCCAUGGUUUUGAAUAUUUAGAAUUUCUUCACACAUUAGCCACAAAUCUAGAUUUCUAUUUUUUUCCUUGCUCUUUACCAUUUCUAUUUGAUUUAUACUUUGUAGCCGCUACCUAGCCAAAUUCAGGUAAAUGUGUUGUUCCUAUGCAAAAUGGAGAACUUGAUGCCAGAGGACUUCUUGCAGCAUUGAUUCAGUCUGCUGGAACACUAGAAUCAUUUGAGGUCUGAUUUUAGUUUAUACAAAAAAGGUGCAUGACUUUGCAUUGCCAAUAGGCGAUAGCUCUCAGUCAGUUGGGUAGUUAUCUCUCUUGCAGUAGAUCUUAAUGGGAUGUGUCUUUUUUCUAUUUUAUCAUAAAGGGUAUCAUCUACCUUGGUCAUUUUUAAGACAUAUCAUUAGAGAUCGGAUUCUCAUUUCUAUAUUAGAUAUGAAAAUUUGCUUUGAUAAAAUGCUGGGACUAUAGAUCAGAUGGUCAAUUCCUGGAAACUACUAAACAAUUGUUUUAAUAACACAUAGGUUGUUGUGAUCAAAUGAUGGCAAAAGAAUUAGAUAGAAUAGUGGGAAUCAAAGGAAUUCCUCGGGGAAUAAGUAGAAAUUAUUUGAUUUUAUACAAGGGUAUGCUACUUUUACUUCUAAUAUUGUCUGCUUGUAGAAUUAUUACAUGCCCGUACAAUAAAAUAAUUAACUAGACAGCAAGCAGUAAAACAAUCUGCCCCAUUCUUAUUCUAAAUAUUCAAAGCAGCUAUGAGUGAGAACAAUCUGCCCCAUUUGCUUUGGUGGAUAUUAUUAAAGAAGUGACCAUGUUUGUCUUUAAGAUCAGGAUGCCCUCAGGUGUUAGAGUUGGUCUCAUCAACGGCCUGGCUGACUUUGAAUGCAGGUUGAGUUUUGGAUGCAAUGAUAAAUUGCAACUUGGCUCUUAAUUUGAUUGCCACUUUCACACGCGCUAGAGCUGCACUGGUUGCCUAUGCAAAGUAGUUCCUCUCUUUCCCAGUUGAGCUUUUGUUAGUAUAUAGAAACUGGUGCUUGCAAGCAAAUUGGGUGGCAAUGUGGCAUACCUUCUGCACUUUAAGGUCCAACCCGAUGGUGUUUUAGAUUCUAGUAUAUGUUCUAUCCGUAUGUAGUAUGCAAGUUUUCCCCGUCAUUUAACUUAUGUCCAUUUUGGUGAUGACCUUUGGUUUUAGAUAUUGUAUCUUUAGA
Molecule: long non-coding RNA, 1568 nt
Organism: Daucus carota subsp. sativus
Lineage: Eukaryota; Viridiplantae; Streptophyta; Magnoliopsida; Apiales; Apiaceae
Exons: 3
Source: RefSeq, a predicted model, not a curated record